RNAcentral lists this ribosomal RNA (307 nucleotides) under uncultured bacterium. RNAcentral describes it as "partial 16S ribosomal RNA". It matches the Rfam family "Bacterial small subunit ribosomal RNA", at positions 506 to 807 of the family's 1533-position model. The record is from RNAcentral.
AGACAGCAGUCGCCACGGUAAUACGGAGGAUCCAAGCGUUAUCCGGAAUCAUUGGGUUUAAAGGGUCCGUAGGCGGUCUUGUAAGUCAGUGGUGAAAGCCCAUCGCUCAACGGUGGAACGGCCAUUGAUACUGCAGGACUUGAAUUAUUGGGAAGUAACUAGAAUAUGUAGUGUAGCGGUGAAAUGCUUAGAGAUUACAUGGAAUACCAAUUGCGAAGGCAGGUUACUACCAAUUGAUUGACGCUGAUGGACGAAAGCGUGGGUAGCGAACAGGAUUAGAUACCCGAGUAGUCCCUGUCUCUUAUAC